UACGUAGGGGGCGAGCGUUGUCCGGAAUGACUGGGCGUAAAGGGCGUGUAGGCGGCCUGAUAAGUCUGGAGUGAAAGUCCUGCAUUUAAUGUGGGAAUUGCUUUGGAUACUGUCGGGCUCGAGUGCGGAAGAGGUAAGUGGAAUUCCCAGUGUAGCGGUGAAAUGCGUAGAGAUUGGGAGGAACACCAGUGGCGAAGGCGACUUACUGGGCCGUAACUGACGCUGAGGCGCGAAAGCGUGGGGAGCGAAC
This 250-nucleotide ribosomal RNA is filed under the name uncultured prokaryote. RNAcentral describes it as "partial 16S ribosomal RNA". It matches the Rfam family "Bacterial small subunit ribosomal RNA", at positions 524 to 773 of the family's 1533-position model. The record is from RNAcentral.